Molecule: non-coding RNA, 46 nt
Organism: Aedes aegypti (yellow fever mosquito)
Lineage: Eukaryota; Metazoa; Arthropoda; Insecta; Diptera; Culicidae
Source: Rfam
ACAACGGUCCUUUUCAGGGCCACAAUUUAUAAUUUUAUUUAUUUAU